Ictidomys tridecemlineatus (thirteen-lined ground squirrel) is the source of this 1655-nucleotide non-coding RNA. NCBI's taxonomy places the organism in Eukaryota, Metazoa, Chordata, Mammalia, Rodentia, Sciuridae. The record is from the annotation of a RefSeq genome assembly.
UCUUUUGUAUAAACUGUUAAAAAAAUUAAAAAGCCCUUUUAUUUUCAUUACCUAAACAUCACCCCUACCCCGUGCACUGUCCUCACACAAUUCUGGAGCCACCACUGCUGUCUCUCUAGGCCACUGGGGGUGGAGCUUCCUGUUAGGGACAGGACAGAGCUCAGCUGUGACUGGUGCUCAGGGAGUCAAGUGGAACCUGUUGCCUGGGAGACCAAGCUUGUCUGGCCCAAGACCUGACACCUGCAGAGCAGGGAGAAGACCCAGCAGCCAGGCCAGCAGCCAUGCAAAGGGGACUGGGGGCUCUGCUGGGGCUUCUGUGGGUGCAGCUUUGCUGGGUGAGAGGGCAGCAGGUGGAGCAGAGUCCUUCAGCCCUGAGGCUCCAGGAGGGAACCAGCACUACCCUGAUGUGCAAAUUUUCCACCACCAUGAACAAAGUGCAGUGGUUCAGACAGAAACCUGAUGGUGACCUCAUCAAUCUGUUUUUCCUGACUCAGGGGACAAAGCAGGAGGGAAGGUUAAACGCAACAGCAGAUGCUAAGGAGCGCUCCAGCACCCUGCACAUCUCCAUCUCCCAGCUGGAAGAUUCAGGCACCUACCUCUGUGCAGCAGAGGCACAGUGCUCCCAGGGGACCUGCAGCCUGUCCCUAAACUGCAGCUGCACCUGCAGCCACAGCCUCUGCCUCAGGGAGGCUUGCACAGCAGUGUCUGCACACUUUGGGCAUCCUGAUUCACAUCAUAGCAUUGUUACUUCUGCUAAUAGGAGACAUCUCCGCAUUGCCAUCCCAUUUGGAUGGGGCCCUUUUCCUCCCAGAAACACUUUGCAGGGAAAAUUUCUAAUAAUUAAGCUUAGAGCAAUUGAUAAGGAUAUCAAAACCCAAAGUACUGUUAAAACAGAUCCCCUGGCAGAGCUUAUAAAUGACAUCUAAAUUACUGUGAUGAAAAAGACUUGAAAAACAAUGAUUGUCAACAAAGAAAUGACUCAGUGUUUUCCAGUUACUUGCAGAUUGUUCAGUUUUGCAGGAAAGGGAAUGAGAAGCUGUGACAUUGUGUGUAUGUGGGAGUGUGUGUGGAUAAGAGGUUGGAGCAUGUGCAUGAGCAGAGGAGAGAUGUAAAGGCUUGGUACAGGAGCAUAUGCAAGCUCUUAAAUAUAAGGACAGUUGCCUGAUGGAGUACAGUACUAUUUUCAUGUGAAAUUUCAGAUAAGCCAAGCAUUUGCACAGAAAAUAUUUUUUAAAUUACUUUUUCUUAUAAUUGAGGAUAUAGCAAUUGGAUACAUAAACAAGUGUUUUGAACUAUACACAAAUCAUAACACCUCUGUCAGUUUAUCAAAUCUCCACAAAUAACAGAAAAUGUCAAAGAAACAUUUAAAUGCUGAUAUAUAAAUUUACAUUUCAAAUUAAAUUCAGACUGACAAGAAAAUAAUUGUUUUGAGGAGUAAAAUUGUCUUAGAAAAAUUGUUCCUCUAGAAACAUCAACAUUAGACUUACUCAAAUUCAGAUUUCAUACUAAUUUAUCAUUUAAUUAUGUGAAUACAGUCACAGCUUAUAAAAUACUCUUUAGAGCUCUAGUGUCUGUUGUAUUGUUUCUCAAAAUCAGAAAUUUCAGAAAUUGAGUUGCAAUCUUCUGUUUACCAAGACUAUCUAAUGUGCUUUCAA